GACGAACGCUGGCGGCGUGCUUAACACAUGCAAGUCGAACGGAAAGGCCCUGCUUUUGUGGGGUGCUCGAGUGGCGAACGGGUGAGUAACACGUGAGUAACCUGCCCUUGACUUUGGGAUAACUUCAGGAAACUGGGGCUAAUACCGGAUAGGGGCUCCUGCUGCAUGGUGGGGGUUGGAAAGUUUCGGCGGUUGGGGAUGGACUCGCGGCUUAUCAGCUUGUUGGUGGGGUAGUGGCUUACCAAGGCUUUGACGGGUAGCCGGCCUGAGAGGGUGACCGGCCACAUUGGGACUGAGAUACGGCCCAGACUCCUACGGGAGGCAGCAGUGGGGAAUAUUGCACAAUGGGCGGAAGCCUGAUGCAGCAACGCCGCGUGCGGGAUGACGGCCUUCGGGUUGUAAGCCGCUUUCGCCUGUGACGAAGCGUGAGUGACGGUAAUGGGUAAAGAAGCACCGGCUAACUACGUG
Molecule: ribosomal RNA, 468 nt
Filed under: uncultured bacterium
Lineage: Bacteria
Description: partial 16S ribosomal RNA
Rfam family: Bacterial small subunit ribosomal RNA
Source: RNAcentral